GACGAACGCUGGCGGCGUGCUUAACACAUGCAAGUCGAACGGACAGGCCCUGCUUGCAGGGUACCCGAGUGGCGAACGGGUGAGUAACACGUGGGUGUUCUGCCCUGCACUUCGGGAUAAGCCUGGGAAACUGGGUCUAAUACCGGAUAGGAGCCAUAUUUCGUGUGAUGGUUGGAAAGUUUGUUCGGUGUAGGAUGAGCUCGCGGCCUCUCAGCUUGUUGGUGGAGUAAUGGCCUACCAAGGCGGCGACGGGUAGCCGGCCUGGGAGGGUGGACGGCCACAUUGGGACUGAGAUACGGCCCAGACUCCUACGGGAGGCAGCAGUGGGGAAUAGUGAACAAUGGGAGCAAGCCUGAUGCAGCGACGCCGCGGGGGGGAUGACGGCCUUCGGGUUGUAAACUCCUUUCGCUAGGGACGAAGCUUUUUGUGACGGUACCUAGAUAAGAAGCACCGGCUAACUACGUG
RNAcentral lists this ribosomal RNA (465 nucleotides) under uncultured bacterium. RNAcentral describes it as "partial 16S ribosomal RNA". It matches the Rfam family "Bacterial small subunit ribosomal RNA", at positions 28 to 507 of the family's 1533-position model. The record is from RNAcentral.